Long non-coding RNA from Poecilia latipinna (sailfin molly), 480 nucleotides. RefSeq lists it as uncharacterized. Lineage: Eukaryota; Metazoa; Chordata; Actinopteri; Cyprinodontiformes; Poeciliidae. The transcript has 4 exons. The record is from RefSeq and is a predicted model, not a curated record.
UGUGUGUGUGUGUGUGUGUGUGUGUGUGUGUGUGUGUGUCCACCACAAUGUCAGCCAAGAUCCUAACAGAGCUUUUAUUCUGAGACUUGGUCUGCUGCCAUGUCUCAGACAUGCAAGUCUUACUGAGAGGAUGGAUUGGAGUGGUGAGGGAGAAACACAGGCAGGCCAGGAACAAGAUGACAAUUUCAUUAGUUCCAUUUUCUGAUUUUCCCUGAAAUGCACAUCAAGGAUAUUACUACACCUCCGACAUCUUUGGGAACAACAUCUGCGACAUCUCUGAAUAACACAGAAGUAGCACUUCAAACCACGUCAGAUAUUACUACACCUCCGACAUCUUUGGGAACAACAUCUGCGACAUCUCUGAAUAACACAGAAGUAGCACUUCAAACCACGUCAGAUAUUACUACACCUCCGACAUCUUUGGGAACAAGUUUGUCACCACUGACAACAAUGAAAUUAGCACUUCAAACCACGUCAGGG